RNAcentral lists this long non-coding RNA (730 nucleotides) under Pogona vitticeps (central bearded dragon). RNAcentral describes it as "lncRNA (ENSPVIG00000000584.1)". The record is from RNAcentral. Lineage: Eukaryota; Metazoa; Chordata; Lepidosauria; Squamata; Agamidae.
UUAAGUAUCUCUAGGGACCCGAGGUUGUGAACCACUGAUCUAGACUAACAGAAAGUAGAGGGAGAGGGUCCUUCUAGGGUGUUUGGUUGCGUGGGUUCCUGGCAUCUGGACAGUUGAGAACCAGAGGUUGGGAGCCACCACGAACCCUGGUGGGGAAAUGAAAGCUACAGACCACAAUGGCUCCUUGGAGGUGACCUUUUGAGGUCACAAUGAUGCCACCACCACCACCCUUACCUCCAGUUGGAGACAGCGGCAGAAGGAAAACCUGGAGCAGGAGGAGAAGAGCUUCUCCUAGCAAGAGGGGGAGAACCCCCUGGGAAUGGGGAAUUGGACUUCCGCCAGGAAGCUGGAGGAGGAGGUUGAGAAUGAAGAGCUUCAGCCAGAAGAACUGGUCGCAGGAAGCCAGGGUGGCCACUGUAAAGGGCUGAAGAAGCUCUUUCAGAGAGGCGAAAGGACACCCAGGGAGAUACCGCUGGCCCCGAGUGAGAUGUUCUCUCAAGAUCUGCAGCCCAUGUCCAGGGAGAUUCUUUCUUCCUUGGGCCGGAGAGGUGCCAGGCUCCGUCGGGCUGCUCAGAGGUCCUGCCCUCCUCUUUUCUCCUUGACUCUGUGGGUGGCCGGCGACGGAGGCGAACGAGAAGAGAACUAUCGGUACCACCGCCUGAUGGGGAACCUGGUCUCCUCCAUGGUUCCAGAAAACGACCUCCCACCCCCUACGUGGUGAAGUUGAGAA